RNAcentral lists this small RNA (387 nucleotides) under Pongo abelii (Sumatran orangutan). Its description in RNAcentral is "processed transcript". Lineage: Eukaryota; Metazoa; Chordata; Mammalia; Primates; Hominidae. The record is from RNAcentral.
AUUGCUCCAAGAUGGCGGCGGCGGCGGCAGCGGGAGCGCAGCUCAGCUGGGCUGGAACUGCCCUCCUGGAACUCCCCCAGCCUGCAACCUAGGAGGUGCAGGGACUGAGGCUCAGGCCAAAUCACAACUCAGACCUGGUGAACCCAAGGCCUGAAGAGAAUUUGGAUUCAUUUACAUUGUUUUGUGGGGACUGGAGAGACAAGUAAACUCUCAGCUUAACUGUCCCCUCCCGGUCUGACUACCAUUUCUAAGGCAAGCCCCCUGUUUCUACUCUUGCGCCCCCUGCUGGUUUCCUGCCCUAUCUGUAAGUUGCAUGGCUUUUGUCCGUCUUUUUUUUUUUUUUUUUUUUUUUGAGACAGGGUCUCACCCAGGCUGGAGUGAAAUGAA